RNAcentral lists this ribosomal RNA (437 nucleotides) under Thermonectus marmoratus. Its description in RNAcentral is "partial 16S ribosomal RNA". The record is from RNAcentral. Lineage: Eukaryota; Metazoa; Arthropoda; Insecta; Coleoptera; Dytiscidae.
GUCCUUUUGAAAAUAAUUUAAGGUUUAACCUGCCCACUGAAACAUUUUAACGGCCGCAGUAAUUUGACUGUGCAAAGGUAGCAUAAUCAUUAGUUUUUUAAUUAAAAGCUUGUAUGAAUGGUUGGACGAGAUAAAAUCUGUCUCUAUAUAAAUUAAAUUAGAAUUUAAUUUUUAAGUUAAAAAGCUUAAAUUUUAGUAAAAGACGAGAAGACCCUAUAGAUCUUUAUAUUAUUUAUAAUAGUUUUAAUUAAGAAUUAUUUAUUAAUUAUUAUAAUUAGUAUUUUAUUGGGGUAAUAAAAAGAUUUAAUAAAUUCUUUUUUAUUAUUUACAUUGAUUAAUGAAUAAAUGAUCCAAUUAUUUUGAUUAAAAGAUUAAGUUACCUUAGGGAUAACAGCGUAAUUUUUUUAGAGAGUUCUUAUCGAUAAAAAAGUUUGCGA